This 254-nucleotide ribosomal RNA is filed under the name uncultured bacterium. RNAcentral's name for it is "partial 16S ribosomal RNA". It matches the Rfam family "Bacterial small subunit ribosomal RNA", at positions 524 to 776 of the family's 1533-position model. The record is from RNAcentral.
UACGUAGGGUGCAAGCGUUGUCCGGAAUUAUUGGGCGUAAAGAGCUCGUAGGCGGUCUGUCGCGUCGGCUGUGAAAACUCGGGGCUCAACCCCGAGCCUGCAGUCGAUACGGGCAGACUAGAGUGCUGUAGGGGAGACUGGAAUUCCUGGUGUAGCGGUGAAAUGCGCAGAUAUCAGGAGGAACACCGAUGGCGAAGGCAGAUCUCUGGGCCGUAACUGACGCUGAGGAGACGAAAGCGUGGGGAGCGAACAGG